RNAcentral lists this ribosomal RNA (207 nucleotides) under uncultured bacterium. RNAcentral's name for it is "partial 16S ribosomal RNA". It matches the Rfam family "Bacterial small subunit ribosomal RNA", at positions 568 to 774 of the family's 1533-position model. The record is from RNAcentral.
CUCGUAGGCGGUUCGUCGCGUCCGGUGUGAAGGUCCAUCGCUUAACGGUGGAUCCGCGCCGGGUACGGGCGGGCUUGAGUGCGGUAGGGGAGACUGGAAUUCCCGGUGUAACGGUGGAAUGUGUAGAUAUCGGGAAGAACGCCAAUGGCGAAGGCAGGUCUCUGGGCCGUCACUGACGCUGAGAAGCGAAAGCGUGGGGAGCGAACA